This 408-nucleotide ribosomal RNA is filed under the name uncultured bacterium. RNAcentral's name for it is "bacterial SSU rRNA". It matches the Rfam family "Bacterial small subunit ribosomal RNA", at positions 355 to 775 of the family's 1533-position model. The record is from RNAcentral.
UGGGGAAUAUUGCGCAAUGGGCGAAAGCCUGACGCAGCGACGCCGCGUUAGGGACGAAGGUCUUCGGAUUGUAAACCUCUUUCAGCUCUGACGAAGCGAAAGUGACGGUAGGAGCAGAAGAAGCACCGGCCAACUACGUGCCAGCAGCCGCGGUAAUACGUAGGGUGCAAGCGUUGUCCGGAAUUAUUGAGCGUAAAGAGCUCGUAGGCGGUUUGUCACGUCGAAUGUGAAAACCCGGGACUCAACUCCGGGCCUGCAUUCGAUACGGGCAGACCAGAGUUCGGUAGGGGAGACUGGAAUUCCUGGUGUAGCGGUGAAAUGCGCAGAUAUCAGGAGGAACACCGAUGGCGAAGGCAGGUCUCUGGGCCGAUACUGACGCUGAGGAGCGAAAGCGUGGGGAGCGAACAG